This is a long non-coding RNA of Musca domestica (house fly), 1144 nucleotides long. RefSeq lists it as uncharacterized. Lineage: Eukaryota; Metazoa; Arthropoda; Insecta; Diptera; Muscidae. The transcript is spliced from 3 exons. The record is from RefSeq and is a predicted model, not a curated record.
CGAUAGAUUUCAAACCCGUCCAGCCUUCGCUUACAAUGUCGGUAGAUUUCGGACCGCUGGGAUGUUUCUCUAGAAAAGUUUCCGAGUAAACUGCACAUAUUCGUUUCUUUUGUUUCAUUUGAAAAAAAAAACAACAAUUCUGACAUCAGCAGAGAGUUAACUUUUUUCUGUUGAGAUUUUUUACCGUUCUUUUCGAAAAGUUUCCGAGUACUCUGCACAUGCUCGGUUGAAAUUAUUUGAAGAAUUUUGUGUAUACCACUUUUGUUUUGGUUUUUUGAUCAGUUUGUCGGCAGAAUUUGAACGGAGCACGUGUGCAGUGUGUUACAGUGAAAAGUUAAAAUGAUAAUUAAAGGAAGAUUUGGACCUUCAGAACCUUGUGCUACACCGUUUAAAAAAUCAACGCCACGACAAUGUGAACACGUUUUCGUGGCACGAUAUGCACCAAAAUACUGUAAAGGACAUCUAUUUUAUUAGGCUCCUUAAAGAUGCGGAACUGGAACAUAUUCCGGGAACUACCCAUAUAAAUCAUUUCUUCAACUCGGCUAAAGAUAGGUUUAACAAACUGUAAUUAUAUUAAUUUACACUGAAUUUUAAUUCCCGCAUUCCUUAUAUUUUACAAAAAGACUUAAUAAAAAUGUUCUAUCAUUAAAUUGAAAAAUAUAAACAGAAAAAUAUAAAGAAAAUAUCUAAAAAUUAGAUAAAGUUUUAGUAUUUCGGUUUUUCGAUCGAAUUUCGUAUCAAACAUCCGAAAAAUUUCCGAAUUUUGCAUUAAAAACAUCCUAUUAUUUUCCUAUUUUCGAAUGAAUUAUUCGAUUUUUUUCCGAUUUUCGAAUAAAACUAUAGAAUAUAUAAACUCCAAAAAUGCAUGACAUGUAUUUUUAUGGUGUUAGUGAAAAUUUGUAUGUAUGCUUCACACCUACGAUACUUUUUUUGAUUUUUCUCGUUCAUGAUGCUCGAUUUUGACGUGUGUGGAGGGAUCAUGCAUAUUCUUAUUUGCGACGUUUUUAUACCCUCCAACACAGUAUGGAGGGUAUAUAAAGUUUGCUUCCGAACGAAAUGAAGUAGGUGCAUAAAAUUUUACUCAAAUGUAUAUUAUGUCUGCAGGACUUUUGGUACUGAAAAUGGGCCAUGUACGUCCACUUUU